CAAGCUUACAGGCUCAGGGGCUCAGGAGGCUCCAGGCUAAAUGGUGUUCCAGAAGGCUUCACCUGAGGGUAGAAAUUCACCUUCAGGUACCCCCUCCCUGCCUGCGUGAGAGCUGAGAGAGGAAGAUGAAUUCCUUAAGCUCUUCCCUGUGCUGGGAAGCAGUAGUGUUAAGAGAGAUCUCUGUGCUGAAGAUGGAGCUGCAGCCAAGAUGACCGGCAUAGUUUAUAGGCUUAUUCCACUGCCAGGCUUGCUUUUGGCCGUGGAGCUGAUCUUUUGCUGCCUGAAAUAUGCGACAAUCAAGAAUUUGAUGGUGCAGAGGGAUUUCUUCUUGGUGCUGGCUGCUAUGAAAUAUUUGGGGCCAGAGAUGCAGGGAAGCCCUAGAGGAAAGAAGGGUUGCCUCAGUAAACGUUUCUGGAGCUCCCUGGGAAGGGCCCCUGUGGUUCUCCAAAGGUUUUCCUGAUGCUGCAGUCAGCCACUAGCCUUCAGAUUGCUGGUCUUCAUAUCAUCCCAUCAUCUCGGGGCAUUUCACUAUUCCAGACACUUCCCACUGGCCUUGAUCUCCCUCAUCCUCUCUUCCUCCACAAGACUUUGUGAUUAAUUUCUGCUGCCCCCUCCUGGAAUGACAACUUGCUCAAGUUACGCCCCCUCCUCCAGGGUUCAGUUCUAAUUACAUUUUGUCUAGGAACUCUAAGAUCCCUAGAAUGUAAAUACCUCCCCUUCUUAUUCUCCUACUGUACUGUGUACCCCCAUAAGCCAAGAUGCCUAUGAUGAAUGCCAAAAUGGUUAUUUACACGUUUUUCUUCCUACUACCUCCAGCAACCAUGUGGAUACAAGGAAUAGAUCAAAUUAGUUUUUUGAAACCUGCCCAAACACUGGCACGGUAUAUGGUACAUAGUAAGUCUGUUAAAUAUAGGAUAAAACUGGGUUGCCUUAAAUUCUAACUAGAGUGUAAAUGACUGAUUGUCAUACCUCUACAGAAUGUACAAGAAAAACUGUCUCCAUGGUAGGAAUUUUUGUUCUAAUCAGUCCAUGGAAAGAAAAAGCUAUUAUUGAACUUCCCAGGAAUCUCCCAGGCUGAGAAGUCUACACAAUAUUCAGGUAGGUAAAGUGUCAAAGAAGUUUAUCGAUUCAUGACGAGAAUCCUGUGAUGUCUCCUACCAAUCUUUCCAAGUGACAACACUAGCAGGUUUCACACAGUGUUAGCCUCAUUUAACCAGCCAUCAUUUCCAUUUAAAAAAUACGAGGGGAAGAAUUAAGAGUGAGUAGAAAAAAUGCCUUUGAAUUAAAAUCGUUGCUUUUCUUUGAACAUCCAGAUGAUUAAAUGAGAUCCAGACGAAAGCCUGCAAAUUCCAAAAAAUAAAGCCCAGCCGGGGGUAUCUGCAUUCCCUCAUGUUUCUGCUGGUAACCCCGUGGUAAAGUAAAGUAAUGAUUGAUUUGGAGAGAAUUAUGGCUAUUAUAAACUGUAAUCAGUGGUGGAUGAGAAUAAUUACACAGAGAAAGGGGGAAAAGCUGAAACAUGGCUGAGCAGUGUUCUGAUGGAUGGGGAAGUCAUUUCCUAGCUGUUAAUGACUGAUUUUUCAACAGUCAGCACACAAGCUUUAAUCCCAGAGGGGAGAAGGAGAAAGGAACGGCCACGUUAUUAAGGAUGCUACUGAUUUAACCUUACCCAUUUUCCUCUGGACAUUGCUGGUGCCUGUCUCCCAUCUGUUCCUGCUAUUGCAGACAUACCAUGCAGGUUUGAGGUUAGGACCUGGCCUUUAUCUGAGAGACACUAGAAAGAGUUAUGGUUGUAGAAAACUACUGUAGAUCACGGUGGCGGGAUACAGCAUUAGGGUGUCAUAGCAUCGUAGGAUGUUAGGACUAGAAGGGCCACAGUAAUAACCUGAUCCAAUCUGCUCAUUUUAUAGAUGAGUCCAGAGAGGUGAAGUGAUGCGUCUAUGUCACAUAGGUGAGGGGCUUAGACAUAAGGGGAAAUUGCUCCCACAGGACCCAGGAGACUGGCCUUAUAAAAGAGGCAUGAUCAGAUCUCUGAGGGAGACAGCUUUACUAAAGCCAAUUCGAAAUUGGCAUCAGGUUGGUCUCUUGCCCUCAGAGAUAUGCUCUGGAGUUCAAUAUUCUCUCUGCAUUAGUUGUUACUGGAUGAGGUUACACAAGGUCAGAAAGGGCAUGGGUUUGUGGAAUGAUCAGUUUUGGUUUACAGACAAGUCAUGAGUCCUCUAAACUGUGACACUGACACACAUACACACACACACACACACACACACAGAGAGAGAGAGAGAGAGAGAGAAAGAGAACCCAAUUUAUCUUAUCAUUUGCAGCCAUAAAACAGAAUAACUGAUAGAAGUAGAUUAGAAGUCAUAAAACUGUGUAAAACAGGACAGCUAAGAUUUGGUUGGCAUCCCCCUUCAGGGUUCUUGAAGAGCCUUUUGGAUACUUUUGCAAAGUGCUGGGUUCCCCUCUGGCCUCCCGUGCAGAGGCCCCACAGAAAGAGGCUGCACAGUGGUGCUGGGCCGUGACAGAUUCCAGCCGUGUCUCCCCUCCCCCACCUGAGGAUAAAACCCGUCAGAAGGAAAGGCAGGAUCAUCUCCUAAGAAAAUACCGUUGCCUUUGAGGCUAAAUCAUGUCAAAAUAUAAGAUCAGGAAUGUCCAGAUGCUGUUUAUCCAAUCGUAAUUAAAUUUGGACUUCUUUAGGAGAAUAAAACAUGUCUCAGUUCCAGGAAAAGUUGUUUUGAUCCCAAGGCUGUUUGGGCUCUUUUUAUGAAAACAAACAUUUUAACCGAGAUGAUACCAAUGUUCCUAGAUUUUCACCAUGAAGGCGGGUUUUCUGGAGCAAAAUCUCUUGAGCCACCUUAUGUUCUUCAUAAUAUUUGAUCCAACAGUAUUAAAAAUCUCAGCUUUUUUUCCACUUUCAUCUUUAGUUUUCGGAAAUUAUUUUCAACAGGAUCAAU
Molecule: long non-coding RNA, 2948 nt
Filed under: Homo sapiens (human)
Lineage: Eukaryota; Metazoa; Chordata; Mammalia; Primates; Hominidae
Description: HSALNT0120083
Source: RNAcentral